ACCUACGGGGCGCAGCAGUGGGGAAUAUUGGGCAAUGGGGGAAACUCUGAUCCAGCGACGCCGCGUGAGUGAAGAAGUAUUUCGGUAUGUAAAGCUCUAUCAGCAGGGAAGAAAAUGACGGUACCUGACUAAGAAGCCCCGGCUAACUACGUGCCAGCAGCCGCGGUAAUACGUAGGGGGCAAGCGUUAUCCGGAUUUACUGGGUGUAAAGGGAGCGUAGACGGCAUAGCAAGUCUGAUGUGAAAGAUCGGGGCUCAACCUCGGGCCUGCAUUGGAAACUGUUAAGCUGGAGUACAGGAGAGGUA
This 305-nucleotide ribosomal RNA is filed under the name uncultured bacterium. RNAcentral describes it as "bacterial SSU rRNA". It matches the Rfam family "Bacterial small subunit ribosomal RNA", at positions 337 to 659 of the family's 1533-position model. The record is from RNAcentral.